This 85-nucleotide non-coding RNA is filed under the name uncultured Ferdinandcohnia sp. RNAcentral describes it as "Cyclic di-GMP-I riboswitch". It matches the Rfam family "c-di-GMP-I riboswitch aptamer". Rfam says of the family: GEMM was predicted in a large-scale screen for bacterial structured RNA regulatory elements. Genes associated with GEMM are involved in a diverse array of functions, including chemotaxis regulation, signal transduction, secretion and chitin. The record is from RNAcentral. Lineage: Bacteria; Bacillati; Bacillota; Bacilli; Caryophanales; Bacillaceae.
AGAAAAAGGCAAACCUAUUGAAAAAUAGGGACGCAAAGUCACGGGUCUAAGGUUGGAGAUUAUCAAUUAUGACGGCUGGAUUGCC